Molecule: ribosomal RNA, 1447 nt
Filed under: metagenome
Description: bacterial SSU rRNA
Rfam family: Bacterial small subunit ribosomal RNA
Source: RNAcentral
GUGGGUAGCAAUAUUCGCGGUGUUCAGCGGCGCAAGGGUGCGUAACACGUGGGCAAUCUGCCCCGAAGACUGGAAUAACUCCGAGAAAUCGGAGCUAAUAUCGGAUGUGACUCCUGUGUGGCAACAUGUAGGAUACAAAGCCGGGGACCGCAAGGCCUGGCACUUCGGGAUGAGCCCGCGGCCUAUCAGCUUGUUGGCGGGGUAAAAGCCCACCAAGGCUAAGACGGGUAGCUGGUCUGAGAGGACGACCAGCCACACUGGAACUGAGACACGGUCCAGACACCUACGGGUGGCAGCAGUCGAGAAUUUUCACAAUGGGCGAAAGCCUGAUGGAGCGACGCCGCGUGGGGGAUGAAUGGCUUCGGCCCGUAAACCCCUGUCAUGGGCGAUCAAAGCCUUUCCGUGAAUAUCGGGAAGGACUGAUGGUAGUUCAAGAGGAAGGGACGGCUAACUCUGUGCCAGCAGCCGCGGUAAUACAGAGGUCCCAAGCGUUGUUCGGACUCACUGGGCGUAAAGGGUGCGUAGGCGGUCGGGUAAGUCUAGCGUGAAAUCCCGUGGCUCAACCACGGAACUGCGUCGGAAACUAUUCGGCUUGAGGGUGCGAGGGGGGACUGGAAUUCUCGGUGUAGCAGUGAAAUGCGUAGAUAUCGAGAGGAACACCAGUGGCGAAGGCGAGUCCCUGGAGCACACCUGACGCUGAGGCACGAAAGCUAGGGGAGCAAACAGGAUUAGAUACCCUGGUAGUCCUAGCCCUAAACGGUGCACGUUUGCUGUAAGAGGAAUCGACCCCUCUUGUGGCGUAGCUAACGCGUUAAACGUGCCGCCUGGGAAGUACGGCCGCAAGGUUAAAACUCAAAGAAAUUGACGGGGGCCUGCACAAGCGGUGGAGUAUGUGGCUUAAUUCGAUUCUACGCGAAGAACCUUACCUGGCCUUGACAUGUGGGUGGUAGAAGGGUGAAAGCCCGACGACCUCGCAAGAGGAGCCUACACAGGUGCUGCAUGGCUGUCGUCAGCUCGUGUCGUGAGAUGUUGGGUUAAGUCCCGCAACGAGCGCAAUCCCUGCGUCCUGUUGCCACCCAGCCGAGAGGCUGGAGCACUCUGGACGGACCGCCCCGCUUCAACGGGGAGGAAGGUGGGGAUGACGUCAAGUCAGUAUGGCCCUUAUGGCCAGGGCUGCACACGUACUACAAUGCUCGGUACAAAGGGAAGCAAUACCGUCAGGUGGAGCAAAUCCCCAAAAACCGAGCCCAGUUCAGAUUGUCGUCUGCAACUCGACGGCAUGAAGCCGGAAUCGCUAGUAAUGGCGCAUCAGCUACGGCGCCGUGAAUACGUUCCCAGGCCUUGUACACACUGCCCGUCACAUCAUGAAAGCCGGUCGUACCCGAAGUCGCCCCUAAAAAGGUGCCGAAGGUAUGGCUGGUGAUUGGGAUGAAGUCGUAACAAGGUA